This 522-nucleotide ribosomal RNA is filed under the name Petrolisthes armatus (green porcelain crab). Its description in RNAcentral is "partial 16S ribosomal RNA". It matches the Rfam family "Bacterial large subunit ribosomal RNA", at positions 1830 to 2600 of the family's 2925-position model. Lineage: Eukaryota; Metazoa; Arthropoda; Malacostraca; Decapoda; Porcellanidae. The record is from RNAcentral.
UCUGUAUGAAGUUAAAUAGAGUCUGUUCUGCCCGUUGAAUAUUAUAGUUUGAAAGGCCGCAGUAUCUUGACUGUGCAAAAAAUAGCAUAAUCAUUAGUUUUUUAAUUGAAGGCUUGAAUGAAUGAUCGAACAAGAACUCAGCUGUCUUUUCUGAUUAAAAUUGAAUUUUAUUUUUAAGUGAAAAAGCUUAAAUAAAUAAGAAAGACGAUAAGACCCUAUAAAUCUUUAUGAAAUUUAGUUUUUAAAAUUAAUAUUUUAAGUUAAGCAAAUUUUAAAAGUUAUAUCAUUGUGCUGGGGUGGUAAAGAUAUAAAAAAUAAACUGUCAGAAAAUAAAACAAAAAUAUUUGUUUGUAAAAGAUCCUAUAUAUGGAUUAAAAGAAUAAGUUACUUUAGGGAUAACAGCAUAAUUUCUUUUGAGAGUCCUAAUCGAAAAAGAAGCUUUUUUUUUCGAUGUUGAAUUAAGGAAUCCUUUAGGGCGCAGGUGUUAUAAAAGGGAGUCUGUUCGACUUUUAAAUCCUUACA